UGAAACUUGUGACUUUAAAAAUGGUUUCAAAGAAAUGUGCUAGACAAUACUCAGGCUUGUUGGCAUUUCUUUAUUUUGCGAAGGGGUCUUCUCUCUAGCAAUGAAUUCAUCUUCCAAAAGCUCCCGUAACAUGUUGAUGUUACAAACACUUGUGGAGACAGCGUAUCUUGGGGUGAAGGAGGGUUAAUGCUCUUCCCGACUGUAAUCAAUGGGAGCAGCAUGAUUUACAGAAUCUCCCCUGGCUGUCAGGCAGCCCGCGUUAUCAGCGUGCUCAUCUUGGCCUCGGCAGGGCUGACGCGUGGUGGAGACGCCGGAGCCCUCGUUACACUAGUUUUACCUGGCAGGCAGUGCUAGGUCUGCGCAAAGAUAAAAUGAAAAGUCCCUGGGCAACCUCAGGCUAUCUGUCUCUGCUGCACAUGCUGCUGGCUAUGACUUUGUAGUUUAUGUAAAAAUAGUUGUUUUCUGAAAUGAAAUGAAAGCAAGACGAAGGGGAAUAAGCAGAGGCUGCAACUGAGAAAGAACUUAAAACACAGAGGUCUAAGUCUACAAGAAUUCUAAUGGGCGAGCUGCUUAGUGGUUAACUGACAGGCACCAGGCAGCCACGUGAUCUUCCCCCCUUAUGUCUUGGUCAGUCAAGGCACACAAAUGCUUGCUGCACGUAGAAAUGCAUCAAUGAUUUCAAAAAUGGAAAUAAUAAUGUACAGAUUUAUUUUUUUUUCCUUAUAUAGGCACAGGAUGUCUGCUUCCUCCUAUCCAGAUAUUUCCAAAUGAACUUUUCUUUUAAAACCACAUGCACGUUUUAGGUGCCCAACAUUAUUUUUUGCUUUGGGCAGCCCAACUCCUUCUUUCUUCUGUAUGGAUUCAUGGUCAGCUAUACUCUGUCAACUUCUGAACUUACGUUAAAAAUCUUUGGCACUAAUUAGCCUUCUAUAGAGAACAGCAGUAGUCUCCUCUCACGAAAAAAAAUACACCAUAUCUUAAUCAAUCGUGCUUAUGUAAGUUACAAAAUCUUUCUGCUAAGGAAAAAUUGCAUUUUUAGAAUUAAGCAUUGCCUAACUUUUUUUUGAAGCCAACUGUACAGAACUCUUGUCACUUAAACAUUUUUCACAUCAAUUCUCUUCUUUACUUACAAAUUAAAGUUUGAAGAUGGAGAUAAAAAAGGGGAAGAAAUGAUUUUUCUCUGUUGCUGUUCAUUUGCUAACACUGUUGCAUAUUUAAGGUAUUUUCAUUUUGUGAAAUCCCAGCACUGGAGGUUAGGAUGAGCUCUCCCUGGAUACCCAAGUAAAGAAAAAAGUCAGAGAACAGAGGGAGUGAGAGAACGUGGGACCCAUGUCCAGUAAUGGCUCAGUCACUGGGCUCAGGGAAGGCCCAAUAUCUCUUUCUAUCGGUGGCUUGAGAAUUGGCUUGCCACCAAGACAGAGAACAGGAACUAAGCUGACAGAUUGGAACCUGAACUGGGAAGAGUAACCGUCCUGUUCUGGGGAUGGACAGAACAGUGAAGGGUUUCCUAGCAAUGAGGACUCCAGAAUCUCUACAUAAGAGAGGUCUAAAGUCAUUGUCUUCAAGCUACACUUUCAUAGCAAAUAUACUGUUUUAAUUAAGAUUAGAUUUAAGGUUAGAUUUUAUUUGGAAAGAUGGGGGUGUAUGGCCAAGGGAUAUUUAUGGCUGGACCCUUUUCAAGAGGCUCACUGACAUUGAUGGAUAUUAAUAAAGUUGAUGCUAUAAAGUUUCACCAGGAAUGGCAGAAGGAUGAACCUGUCAAGUAAGCACAGGCCGUUCCAAAGCCUAGUCUAGGAAUCAUUGCGCCAGACUGGGAAAAGUCCUUCUCAUCUACAUGGUACAGGAACUGCAGAGAUUUCUAUGGAAAAAUAAUGAACACAUUUAAGAAAAGUUGAAAUCAGAGUUUUCUUCUAAGAGAAAAUGAAAACAGUAAUAACACCCAGAGAGAUGGCCUGAAACUUGGUUGUUUCAAAGAAAGCUGUUGGCCCAUCUCCCCACUUCACCUGACUCCCAUUCCCACACAGGCAACCCAACACAUUCAAGGUCAUGUCGGAACAGCUAACCUGACAGGGUGGGAUGCGGCCUACUGCUCUGAAGACUCGAAAUGCUGACGGCACCCUAUUAGCUUUCUGUUCACUUCAGUCAACUUCCUUCUCAUGGUCUAUCCUCUUCCAUAUCGUGAUGCCUUCCUUCCAUGUAUCAUCCAUCUUACAUCAUUGUGUAUAUCACACUAAGUGUCAAUAAAG
This 2246-nucleotide long non-coding RNA is filed under the name Homo sapiens (human). Its description in RNAcentral is "HSALNT0347064". Lineage: Eukaryota; Metazoa; Chordata; Mammalia; Primates; Hominidae. The record is from RNAcentral.